AGCAAGAGCCCGGAGAUGGAUUCUGAGACAUGAAUCCAGGCCCUACGGGGCGCAGCAGGCGCGAAAACUUUACAAUGCGGGAAACCGUGAUAAGGGGACACCGAGUGCCAGCAUCAUAUGCUGGCUGUCCGGAUGUGUAAAAUACAUCCGUUAGCAAGGGCCGGGCAAGACCGGUGCCAGCCGCCGCGGUAACACCGGCGGCCCGAGUGGUGAUCGUGAUUAUUGGGUCUAAAGGGUCCGUAGCCGGUUUGGUCAGUCCUCCGGGAAAUCUGAUAGCUCAACUAUUAGGCUUUCGGGGGAUACUGCCAGACUUGGAACCGGGAGAGGUAAGAGGUACUACAGGGGUAGGAGUGAAAUCUUGUAAUCCCUGUGGGACCACCUGUGGCGAAGGCGUCUUACCAGAACGGGUUCGACGGUGAGGGACGAAAGCUGGGGGCACGAACCGGAUUAGAUACCCGGGUAGUCCCAGCCGUAAACGAUGCUCGCUAGGUGUCAGGCAUGGCGCGACCGUGUCUGGUGCCGCAGGGAAGCCGUGAAGCGAGCCACCUGGGAAGUACGGCCGCAAGGCUGAAACUUAAAGGAAUUGGCGGGGGAGCACAACAACGGGUGGAGCCUGCGGUUUAAUUGGACUCAACGCCGGACAACUCACCGGGGGCGACAGCAAUAUGUAGGCCAAGCUGAAGACUUUGCCUGAAUCGCUGAGAGGAGGUGCAUGGCCGUCGCCAGUUCGUACUGUGAAGCAUCCUGUUAAGUCAGGCAACGAGCGAGACCCGUGCCCACUGUUACCAGCAUGUCCUCCGGGACGAUGGGUACUCUGUGGGGACCGCCGAUGUUAAAUCGGAGGAAGGUGCGGGCCACGGUAGGUCAGUAUGCCCCGAAUCUCCCGGGCUACACGCGGGCUACAAUGGAUGGGACAAUGGGUCCCUCCCCUGAAAAGGGCUGGUAAUCUCACAAACCCAUUCGUAGUUCGGAUCGAGGGCUGUAACUCGCCCUCGUGAAGCUGGAAUCCGUAGUAAUCGCGUU
Molecule: ribosomal RNA, 1023 nt
Filed under: Methanosarcina mazei
Lineage: Archaea; Methanobacteriati; Methanobacteriota; Methanomicrobia; Methanosarcinales; Methanosarcinaceae
Description: bacterial SSU rRNA
Rfam family: Archaeal small subunit ribosomal RNA
Source: RNAcentral